Pipistrellus kuhlii (Kuhl's pipistrelle) is the source of this 3456-nucleotide long non-coding RNA. RefSeq lists it as uncharacterized. The transcript is spliced from 2 exons. Lineage: Eukaryota; Metazoa; Chordata; Mammalia; Chiroptera; Vespertilionidae. The record is from RefSeq and is a predicted model, not a curated record.
UCUCUCUCAUCGAUGUUUCUAACUCUCUAUCCCCUCUCCCUUCCUCUCUAUAAAGAAUCAAUAAAAUAUAUUUUAAAAAAAAGUAUGAGGCCUUUCCUGAUAAAGCUCAUAAAAUUUUCCCCCCUUUGACAUAAUUUUAUAAAAGUAAUGCAUUGUCACUAUACAAAAUUUAUAAAAUAAUGAAUAAAAGUUUACAAUUCCAUUACUCAAAUGGAAUUAUUUUACAUUUUAUCUAUCUUAGUAUUUUUAAAUAUGUAUAUAUUUUUAAAUAGUAAAUAUAGGAUCAUAUUAUAUAUUACUGUUUCAUAAUCUUUUGCAUUUAGCAACGUAUUAUAACCUUUGCUAAUUAUAAAAUUAGUCUAUGUCAGAAAACUUGUGAAAAUAAAAAUUACCCGUAAUCACACUGCCCAUUAAUAUUUUGGUUUAUUGACAACCUUGUUUUCUUCACAUGCCCUAUUCUGAUGGUUACUUCACUAAACCAUUGUUUCUUGUUGGAAAUUUAGGUUUCCUGCUUUUCACUAUUGUAUUAAUAAUGCUUUAGUGAAUAUCUUUAUACAAAAAUUAAUGUUUCUUAUUACUUUAGUAUAAGUUUAUGUAAGAAUCACUGAAGCAGCCCUGGCCAGUGUGGCUCAGUUGGUUGGGCUUUUCCUGGCACUGGAGGGUUGCCUGUCCAAUUCCUGGUCAGGGCACAUGCCCAGGUUUUGGGCUUAAUCCCUGGUAGGGCAUGAAGGAGGCAGCCAAUCAAUGUCUCGCUCUCACAUCAAUGUUUCUCUCUCCCUUUCCCUGUCUCUAAAAACCAUUAAAUGUUAAAAAGAAAAGAAAAGUAAAAAAGAAUUACUGAAGCAGAGGAUAUAAUUCUUAAAGGUUCUUUUUAAAAAAUACAUAUUUUUAUUGAUUUCAGAGAAGAAAGGAAAGGGAAAGAGAGAAACAUCAAUGAUGAGAGAGUCAUGGAUCAGCUGCCUCCUGCACACCCCCUCCUGGGAAUGGAGCCCUCGACCCGGGCUUGUGCCCUGACCAGAAAUUGAACUGAAUCGAACAGUGACCUUCUGGGUUCAUAGGUUGAGGUUCAACCACUGUGCCAAGCUGGCCAGGCUUUUAAAGGUUCUCUAUAUACUUGGCUAAUUUGCUCACUAAAAAGGUUGUACUAGUUUACAUUUUUAUAAGUGCUUGUGUUUACCGCAUGUUUGAUAGCAAACUAAUUUUUAGAAACCCUUUUAAUAUAUAGGCAAGAAUAUUUUCAUUGUUUUAAUUUUAUUGUGAUAUUGGCAAGGUCAGACAUUUUCUAUAUAUUUACACAUAUUUAUGUUGUAUAUAUUCAUAUAUUGUUUUAUAAAAUUUAAAUUAUGUCUGUGUUCAUUUUUCUAUCCAGGUGUUCUUUUUAUUGAAUUGCUAAGGCACAUCUACCAAUAUUUUCCUCCAUUUUGUCAUUAACCUUUUCCUUUUAUUUAUGGUGAUUUUGUUGGUUUUUACAGUUCAGGAGCUUUUAGAGGGUUUAUGUAAUCAAAUCUGUCAGGCUGUUCCUUUAUAUUUCCUUUGUGGGUAGACACCUCCUUCACCCUAGGAGCAACAAAAAUGUCUGCCUAUAUUUUAUAUGGCUCUAUUUGGCAUUUUUUACAUUUAACACUUGAAUUGAUGUUGGUUUAUGGUUUGAGAUUCAAGGACCUGUUUAACAAAUGUUCAGAGUUAUCACAGAGUUACACGUUAGAGCCCCACCACUGCCAUCUGCGAUGUCUCUGGUGGGUAUGGGGACGUGAGCAGACUGUGAGGCUGGUGGAUGUACUCUCCAAUCUCCCAGCCUGAAGGGCUGGGAGAGGCACAGGCUGACAUGUGGCUCCUAGAGUGUCCCUAUAUAGACUCGCCCAAUGGGGCCUGGGGCCUUGAUAAGAAUUCUGGUUGCAGGCAUGGAGCUGAACCCUGGAUCCAGGCAGUCUGUUCAGUGACAGGCCACUCACUACUCUGGGCUUUGCAUAGUCCUCUGAAAGGGCAUCCGUUAGAGUGCAGGUAGCUGAUCUCUUGGGUUUUAAAGACUUGAUCUGCAGCCUUGCUUUUAGGUAUGAGCUUGGCUUGCUGGGACAGUAGAACUUAGUCUUUUCUGGGGGGCACCGAUUGCAUUCCAGCCCUGAACCCUGGGAGGGGCCUUCCCUAUCAUCAACACCCCCCACCCCAACUGAUCCAGCUGGCUCUUGACUCCUUUUGUAAGACUUUACCUUUCUCUACUGACUUUGUUCAGUCUCACUCCCAAGGUCUGAAUUAGUUUACUCUACGGCCACAGCUUCCUUCCCCGCACCCCUCCAGAGGACUAACUGAAGCCCUCAUCCUUUCCCUUGUGCCUUUUCCCACUUUAUCAGCUUCCUCCUUCCUAAGUCAUCCACAUCCUAAGUCUCUAGCUGCACAGUGGCUAGCCUCUUUGGUUUCUCAGAAAAGUUCAUAGUGCCUGGUUCCUCCCUCUUUGCUUUUGAACUGCAUAUCUUUCCUUAUUACUCAGUGUCCACACCCAGGGCGGUUGCCUGGAUAAAAAUCUGCCCCUUCCCCCAGUCACCUUUUUAGGCCAGCUCCCCCUGAAGUAUCCCUGUCUACCCGGGUCCAGUUAGGAACUCUUAAUUCCUCAGAGUGGCCUGAGGCAGUGCAGUGUCCUCUGAGAUCCUCUGCUUUGCCUUCUCACUCAUUUGCUAAGCUUGUUUAUUGAGCACCACUGAGCAGAGUUAAUGCUAUUCCUGUCUUUAGCCUGGAAGGAAGAGGUUAUCUCCCUAUCUUCAGGACUCUGGACUCACUACCCUCGCUGGCCUGUUUCACAUAGUCCGAGGAGAACCAGGCCACCUCUCUCCCAGCUGACACUGAGCAGCUUUGAGACAUCUCUUGGGAGUUUGGACUCAGUGAUCUCAACUCUUCCAGUUAUGACAACGUGAGAGGCAAUGAAGAGGGGAAAGUACAUGGAUGGCAAGGUGGAACUUGAUGGUUCCUGUUUCAUAGGUUCAGGAAAGGUCCUUUGACAACUCACCAGGAGUGGAGGAUGGUAGGUAAAGACUUAGAUGGGAGAGCCCACUUCAGUGAUGAUUGAAUGAGUAUGUACUCCCUUCAGAUUCACCUCUAUUAAAAUAAUUCAAAACCCUGGUCAUCAUUCGUUGUAGGCUUAUCAGGAAUCAGGUUCAGCUGGCUAACCCUACUUUAAAUUCACUUUUUUCUUAUUCCUUCUUAUAAAAAAUAUUGUUAUUGGGGACCCUAACCUUCUGAAAUGAGUAUCUCAGUACUCUGAGUCUUUAUGUAAUCAUAUGAUGCUGUGCUACUUCCAGCGCGUGGUAAAGAGCAAAGCUAACCUUUUGCGGGUAUUAUAUGGAGUUCUGCUCUGUGACCUUUACCCCACUCUGGCUUACCAGAGGAUCAGCUGGCCUUGGCUACAAGGAUACCCAGCCCAGUGCUGGCCCAUGGUAGGCACACAAUAAAUAUUUGUUAAAUGAA